AAUCAACGCUGGCGGCGUGCCUAACACAUGCAAGUCGAACGCGAAAGUGGAGCAAUCCAUGGGUAGAGUGGCAAACGGGUGAGUAACACGUGGGUGACCUGCCUUCGAGUGGGGGGAUAACGUUUCGAAAGGAACGCUAAUACCGCAUAACAUGCUGUCUUUUAACAGAUGGACAUCAAAGCCGGGGACCGCAAGGCCUGGCGCUUGAAGAGGGGCCCGCGGCCUGAUUAGCUAGUUGGUGGGGUAAUGGCUCACCAAGGCAACGAUCAGUAUCCGGCCUGAGAGGGCGGACGGACACACUGGGACUGAGACACGGCCCAGACUCCUACGGGAGGCAGCAGUGGGGAAUUGUUCGCAAUGGGCGCAAGCCUGACGACGCAACGCCGCGUGGAGGAUGAAGAUCUUCGGGUCGUAAACUCCUUUCGAUCGAGCGAAUGGCCUUGGGCCUAAUACCCCUGAGGGAGUGACGGUACCGAGAGAAGAAGCCCCGGCUAACUCCGUGCC
RNAcentral lists this ribosomal RNA (504 nucleotides) under uncultured bacterium. RNAcentral describes it as "bacterial SSU rRNA". It matches the Rfam family "Bacterial small subunit ribosomal RNA", at positions 32 to 509 of the family's 1533-position model. The record is from RNAcentral.